RNAcentral lists this ribosomal RNA (427 nucleotides) under uncultured bacterium. RNAcentral's name for it is "partial 16S ribosomal RNA". It matches the Rfam family "Bacterial small subunit ribosomal RNA", at positions 354 to 796 of the family's 1533-position model. The record is from RNAcentral.
GUGAGGAAUCUUCCACAAUGGGCGAAAGCCUGAUGGAGCAACGCCGCGUGAAGGAUGAAGGUCUUCGGAUUGUAAACUUCUUUUAUGAGUGAAGAAUAUGACGGUAACUCAUGAAUAAGCACCGGCUAACUACGUGCCAGCAGCCGCGGUCAUACGUAGGGUGCAAGCAUUAUCCGGAGUGACUGGGCGUAAAGAGUUGCGUAGGCGGUUAUGUAAGCGAAUAGUGAAACCUGGUGGCUCAACCACACAGACUAUUAUUCGAACUGCAUAACUCGAGAAUGGUAGAGGUAACUGGAAUUUCUUGUGUAGGAGUGAAAUCCGUAGCUAUAAGAAGGAACACCAAUGGCGUAGGCAGGUUACUGGGCCAUUUCUGACGCUAAGGCACGAAAGCGUGGGGAGCGAACCGGAUUAGAUACCCCGGUAGUCC